Molecule: ribosomal RNA, 587 nt
Filed under: uncultured bacterium
Lineage: Bacteria
Description: bacterial SSU rRNA
Rfam family: Bacterial small subunit ribosomal RNA
Source: RNAcentral
UUCCGGCUGAGGAUGGGCCCGCGGCCGAUUAGCUUGUUGGUGGGGUAACGGCUCACCAAGGCGACGAUCGGUAGCUGGUCUGAGAGGACGAUCAGCCACACUGGGACUGAGACACGGCCCAGACUCCUACGGGAGGCAGCAGUGGGGAAUCUUGCGCAAUGGGCGAAAGCCUGACGCAGCGACGCCGCGUGCGGGAAGAAGGCCUUCGGGUUGUAAACCGCUUUCAGGAGGGACGAAGCCACUCGGGUUAAUAGCCCAGAGGGUGACGGUACCUCCAGAAGAAGCCCCGGCUAACUACGUGCCAGCAGCCGCGGUAAUACGUAGGGGGCGAGCGUUGUCCGGAUUUAUUGGGCGUAAAGAGCGCGUAGGCGGCCACGUAAGUCCGACGUGAAAUCUGGAGGCUCAACCUCCAGCGGUCGUUGGAAACUACAUGGGCUAGAGUCCGGAAGAGGAGAGUGGAAUUCCUGGUGUAGCGGUGAAAUGCGCAGAUAUCAGAAGAACACCGAUGGCGAAAGCAGCUCUCUGGGACGGUACUGACGCUGAGCGCGAAAGCGUGGGGAGCGACAGAUAGAUACCCUGGUAGUCAC